RNAcentral lists this transfer RNA (85 nucleotides) under Felis catus (domestic cat). It matches the Rfam family "tRNA". Rfam says of the family: Transfer RNA (tRNA) molecules are approximately 80 nucleotides in length. Their secondary structure includes four short double-helical elements and three loops (D, anti-codon, and T loops). Further hydrogen bonds mediate the characteristic L-shaped molecular structure. tRNAs have two regions of fundamental functional importance: the anti-codon, which is responsible for specific mRNA codon recognition, and the 3' end, to which the tRNAs corresponding amino acid is attached (by aminoacyl-tRNA synthetases). tRNAs cope with the degeneracy of the genetic code in two manners: having more than one tRNA (with a specific anti-codon) for a particular amino acid; and 'wobble' base-pairing, i.e. permitting non-standard base-pairing at the 3rd anti-codon position. The record is from Rfam by way of RNAcentral. Lineage: Eukaryota; Metazoa; Chordata; Mammalia; Carnivora; Felidae.
ACCUGAGUGGCUCAGUCAGUUAGGCACCUGACUUUGGCUCAGGUCAAGAUCUCGUGGUCUGUGAGUUCAAGUCCCACAUCAGGCU